UNCCCGUUGGUCAAGUGGUUAAGACACCGCCCUUUCACGGCGGUAACACGGGUUCGAAUCCCGUACGGGUCA
Molecule: transfer RNA, 72 nt
Filed under: Bacillus thuringiensis
Lineage: Bacteria; Bacillati; Bacillota; Bacilli; Caryophanales; Bacillaceae
Description: tRNA-Glu
Rfam family: tRNA
About the family: Transfer RNA (tRNA) molecules are approximately 80 nucleotides in length.
Source: RNAcentral